UGUCGUCAGCUCGUGUCGUGAGAUGUUGGGUUAAGUCCCGCAACGAGCGCAACCCCUGCCCUUAGUUGCCAGCGGGUUGGGCCGGGCACUCUAAGGGGACUGCCUGCGAAAGCAGGAGGAAGGCGGGGACGACGUCUGGUCAUCAUGGCCCUUACGGCCUGGGCGACACACGUGCUACAAUGCCCACUACAGAGCGAGGCGACCCAGUGAUGGGGAGCGAAUCGCAAAAAGGUGGGCGUAGUUCGGAUUGGGGUCUGCAACCCGACCCCAUGAAGCCGGAAUCGCUAGUAAUCGCGGAUCAGCCAUGCCGCGGUGAAUACGUUCCCGG
Molecule: ribosomal RNA, 328 nt
Filed under: uncultured Thermus sp.
Lineage: Bacteria; Thermotogati; Deinococcota; Deinococci; Thermales; Thermaceae
Description: bacterial SSU rRNA
Rfam family: Bacterial small subunit ribosomal RNA
Source: RNAcentral